This 662-nucleotide long non-coding RNA is filed under the name Pan troglodytes (chimpanzee). RNAcentral describes it as "long non-coding RNA NONPTRT013675". The record is from RNAcentral. Lineage: Eukaryota; Metazoa; Chordata; Mammalia; Primates; Hominidae.
GCUACUAUAAAGACAGAUGCACAUGUAUGUUUACUGCAGCACUAUUCACAAUAGCAAAGACUUGGAACGAACCCAAAUUCCAUAAAUGAUAGACUGGAUUAAGACAAUGCUCCCAUGCUAACACCAUCACCAGCAUCAGUGCAUGCAUACUUCCCAGCAGGGCCUCCUCUCCCCCACUGAGCUAUGCUGUCACCGCAGUUGUGAAUGUCCACACAGUGGCCAGCACCCUGGCACCCACUAGCACCCUGCCACAGCCAACAGGCAUGCACCUUGCCAUGCUGCCACUGCUGCUGGUGUCAAAAUGCAAGAAAAUGUAUUAAAGGCAGAUAGAAAGGACAAGUCACCUACAAAGGGAAGCCCAUCACACUAAAAGCAGACCUCUGAGUAGAAACCCAACAAGCGAGAAGAGAUUGAGGGCCUACAUUCAACAUUCUUAAAGAAAAGAAAUUCCAACCCAGAAUUUCCUAUCAAGCCAAACUAAGCAUAAGCAAAGGAAAAAUUAUAAAUAAAAUUAUAUCCAGUCGCAUCACAGUGAAAUUAUUGAAAAUGAAAGAUGAAGAGAAAACGUUGACAGUAGCCAGAGAAACAAAAUAAGAUCCAAAACUCAUCAUUAAAAAUAGUGAUCCCACAGAAUCCAGACUUUGAACCAUAUAACAUCCACA